GCCAGCCCGCUCAGAACUCAAAGGAAUUGACGGGGCCGCACAAGCGGAGGAGCAUGUGGUUUAAUUCGAUGAUACGCGAGGAACCUUACCUGGGCUCGAACGUAAGAUGACUGUAGGUGAAAGCUUACAUCUCUUCGGAGCAUUUUACGAGGUGCUGCAUGGUUGUCGUCAGCUCGUGCCGUGAGGUGUCGGGUUAAGUCCCAUAACGAGCGCAACCCCUACCUUUAGUUGCCAUCAGGUUAAGCUGGGGACUCUAAAGGAACUGCCUACGCAAGUAGUGAGGAAGGCGGGGAUGACGUCAAAUCAGCACGGCCCUUACGUCCAGGGCUACACACGUGCUACAAUGGCCGAUACAGAGGGCAGCUACCUAGUGACAGGAUGCAAAUCUCCAAAGUCGGUCUCAGUUCGGAUCGGAGUCUGCAACCCGACUCCGUGAAGUUGGAUUCGCUAGUAAUCGCGCAUCAGCCAUGGCGCGGUGAAUACGUUCCCGGGCCUU
Molecule: ribosomal RNA, 496 nt
Filed under: uncultured Sphingobacteriales bacterium
Lineage: Bacteria; Pseudomonadati; Bacteroidota; Sphingobacteriia; Sphingobacteriales
Description: bacterial SSU rRNA
Rfam family: Bacterial small subunit ribosomal RNA
Source: RNAcentral